CCUACGGGAGGCAGCAGUGGGGAAUCUUGCACAAUGGGCGGAAGCCUGAUGCAGCCAAGCCGCGUGGGUGAAGAAGGUCUUCGGUAUGUAAAACCCUUUUUGUCGAGAAGCAAGUGCUGGGGCGCAUCCGCUCAUGUGUCGACGUUAACUAACCACAACGCCUCAGCUAACUCCGUGCCAGCCGCCGCGGUAAUACGUAGGUGGCAAGCGUUAAUCGGAUUUAUUGGGCGUAAAGGGAACGCAGGCGGUCUUUUAAGUCUGAUGGGAAAGCCCUGGGCUUAACCCGGGCAGUGCAGUGGAAACUGGCAGGCUUGAGUGCGGGAGAGGUGUGUGGAACUCCAGGUGUAGCGGUGAAAUGCGUAGAUAUAGGGAAGAACACCGGUGGCGAAGGCGGCACUCUGG
RNAcentral lists this ribosomal RNA (402 nucleotides) under uncultured bacterium. Its description in RNAcentral is "partial 16S ribosomal RNA". It matches the Rfam family "Bacterial small subunit ribosomal RNA", at positions 338 to 732 of the family's 1533-position model. The record is from RNAcentral.